Molecule: long non-coding RNA, 455 nt
Filed under: Elaeis guineensis (African oil palm)
Lineage: Eukaryota; Viridiplantae; Streptophyta; Magnoliopsida; Arecales; Arecaceae
Description: long non-coding RNA (EGUI_LNC025093)
Source: RNAcentral
UGCUGGAGUCUGUGUGUCGUAGGAGUUCGUCCGGAAUCUGUCCGCUACAGAAGUUCGAUCAGAGUCCGAUCUCCGUAGAAGUCCGGAUGGGGAUCAUUUGUCGAGGAAGUUCGGCCGAAGCCUGCCUGCAAUAGAAGAUCGGAAGGAAUUCGUUCACAAUAGAAGCUCAGGUGGAGGCUUACAGUAGAAAUCCGACGUGGACCGUUCGUAGUAGAAAUUCGGAGCAGACCGCUUGUAGUGGUAGCUCGGAGCAGACCGCUUGUGGUAGAAGUUCAUAGUAGACCGCUUGCGGUGGGGGCCCGGAGUCCAGCCCUUGCCAGAAUUCGGAUGAGACCCACCUGCGAUAGGAGCUUGGGGCUGAAGUUCGGCUCCCGUAGGAGCUCGGACGAAGUCUACCUGCAGUCGGAGUUCGAGGAAGAAGUCCGGCUCCCGUAGAAGCUCGGACGAAGUCUACC